GCCUUCGGGGUGUAAUGGUCAGCACACUGAGCCGGUAUUUCAGAGGUCCGUGGUUCGAUCCCCGGCGAAGGCA
Non-coding RNA from Stegodyphus mimosarum, 73 nucleotides. The record is from Rfam. NCBI's taxonomy places the organism in Eukaryota, Metazoa, Arthropoda, Arachnida, Araneae, Eresidae.